Molecule: long non-coding RNA, 387 nt
Organism: Ipomoea triloba (trilobed morning glory)
Lineage: Eukaryota; Viridiplantae; Streptophyta; Magnoliopsida; Solanales; Convolvulaceae
Exons: 3
Source: RefSeq, a predicted model, not a curated record
GAGAGAGAAGCAAGUUUCAAGCUCCAAUCGCAAUUUGUUCGGGUUUUAAGGUGAAAAUUGGGGAAAAUCAGCUCCAAAAUCCUUCUACGAGACUAGUAAGCCGGUUGAGUUGCAGUUUAGUGUGGAGCCCUGUAGCUGUUGAGCUGAAUAGAAGGGAAGUACAGGUUGAGGUCUACUCUAUCCUAGAAUAGACACCCUGGAAGGGUUAUUCCCAUAUGUAUUAAGUUGGAUGUUGAUGUUGUAAGUUUAGCCUUAGCGUUUGGGUAUGGGAGAGAUACCUAAACGUGGCGGUGACACCCAGUUUUCUGCUGAUAAGAUGUAAGCUUCCGCAGCGUUUUAUUACGGAUUUUGUAAUAAAUGUAAGAGUUGAAAAUUGGGGUGUUACAA